Molecule: long non-coding RNA, 607 nt
Filed under: Pan troglodytes (chimpanzee)
Lineage: Eukaryota; Metazoa; Chordata; Mammalia; Primates; Hominidae
Description: long non-coding RNA NONPTRT011374
Source: RNAcentral
GUGAAAAUAGGGCCAGCAGUAUCUAGCAGACUGGUCCUGGCCAGGAGAAGGGGUUAAGGAAGCCACUCAUUCUUCGCCUGGGUACACUUCAAAGAGGGGAACCAGAUCCUACGGGAAGCUAGGUGCCAGAACUCCUGCCUUUCCAAGACGAGCUCAUCCCCAUCAUCACCAUACCCAGGAAUACUUGUUCAUAGCCAGCUCAGAGGUGCACCAUACUUUAGCUUCCCACGGCCUUCACUCGUUUUCUCCUGUGGGUGAAUUCUAACUAGGCUCGCCUGUCACCAAAGAUGGAAACAGAGAAUAGAUCUUGAACACCAGGAAGACGGUGACGAGGUGAUAGAGAAACAGAUGGCACAUUCAAACAAGAGGAUAUUCCUUGCAUCUGAACAUAAAAGUAGAGAAAGAGAGAGGAUCAGGAAGCCAGGAGAGAAUAUACACGAAUUUAAACUUUAUUGGUAAUGGAGGGGGUGAAAGAAUCUUUGAGUCAGGCCAUAGCCAUGAGGAAGAAAAACUAUGGAAUCUUUGUUUUUAUGCAUUGCUAUACCUCAAGUACUUAGAACAGCACUGACUACAUAGUAUGUACUCAAUAAACAUUUGUUGACUAAUC